RNAcentral lists this ribosomal RNA (1038 nucleotides) under Salmonella enterica. RNAcentral's name for it is "partial 23S ribosomal RNA". It matches the Rfam family "Bacterial large subunit ribosomal RNA", at positions 1084 to 2023 of the family's 2925-position model. Lineage: Bacteria; Pseudomonadati; Pseudomonadota; Gammaproteobacteria; Enterobacterales; Enterobacteriaceae. The record is from RNAcentral. RNAcentral also lists the same sequence under 5 other names.
CCCAGACAGCCAGGAUGUUGGCUUAGAAGCAGCCAUCAUUUAAAGAAAGCGUAAUAGCUCACUGGUCGAGUCGGCCUGCGCGGAAGAUGUAACGGGGCUAAACCAUGCACCGAAGCUGCGGCAGCGAACGUAUCACUUAAAGCGAUUCAGCGGGUUACGAUUGACGGAGCGAAGCGACGUCAAAGCGUAUACAAAGUCGAGUCGGUUUAAGGAUACGUUCGUUGGGUAGGGGAGCGUUCUGUAAGCCCGUGAAGGUGGCCUGUGAGGGUUGCUGGAGGUAUCAGAAGUGCGAAUGCUGACAUAAGUAACGAUAAAGCGGGUGAAAAGCCCGCUCGCCGGAAGACCAAGGGUUCCUGUCCAACGUUAAUCGGGGCAGGGUGAGUCGACCCCUAAGGCGAGGCCGAAAGGCGUAGUCGAUGGGAAACGGGUUAAUAUUCCCGUACUUGGUGUUACUGCGAAGGGGGGACGGAGAAGGCUAUGUUGGCCGGGCGACGGUUGUCCCGGUUUAAGCGUGUAGGUGUGUGUUCCAGGUAAAUCCGGUUCACUUUAACACUGAGGCGUGACGACGAGGCACUACGGUGCUGAAGCAACAAAUGCCCUGCUUCCAGGAAAAGCCUCUAAGCAUCAGGUAACACGAAAUCGUACCCCAAACCGACACAGGUGGUCAGGUAGAGAAUACCAAGGCGCUUGAGAGAACUCGGGUGAAGGAACUAGGCAAAAUGGUGCCGUAACUUCGGGAGAAGGCACGCUGACACGUAGGUGAAGUGAUUUACUCAUGGAGCUGAAGUCAGUCGAAGAUACCAGCUGGCUGCAACUGUUUAUUAAAAACACAGCACUGUGCAAACACGAAAGUGGACGUAUACGGUGUGACGCCUGCCCGGUGCCGGAAGGUUAAUUGAUGGGGUCAGCGUAAGCGAAGCUCCUGAUCGAAGCCCCGGUAAACGGCGGCCGUAACUAUAACGGUCCUAAGGUAGCGAAAUUCCUUGUCGGGUAAGUUCCGACCUGCACGAAUGGCGUAAUGAUGGCCAGGCUGUCUCC